RNAcentral lists this ribosomal RNA (476 nucleotides) under uncultured bacterium. RNAcentral's name for it is "bacterial SSU rRNA". It matches the Rfam family "Bacterial small subunit ribosomal RNA", at positions 328 to 793 of the family's 1533-position model. The record is from RNAcentral.
CUCUGUGACUCCUACGGGAGGCAGCAGUGGGGAAUAUUGCACAAUGGGGGAAACCCUGAUGCAGCCAUGCCGCGUGUGUGAAGAAGGCCUUCGGGUUGUAAAGCACUUUCAGUAGGGAGGAAGGUAGUGUAGUUAACACCUGCAUUAUUUGACGUUACCUACAGAAGAAGCACCGGCUAACUCCGUGCCAGCAGCCGCGGUAAUACGGAGGGUGCGAGCGUUAAUCGGAAUUACUGGGCGUAAAGCGCAUGCAGGCGGCCUGUUAAGUCAGAUGUGAAAGCCCCGGGGCUUAACCUCGGAAUUGCAUUUGAAACUGGCAGGCUAGAGUCUUGUAGAGGGGGUAGAAUUUCAGGUGUAGCGGUGAAAUGCGUAGAGAUCUGAAGGAAUACCAGUGGCGAAGGCGGCCCCCUGGACAAAGACUGACGCUCAGAUCGCGAAAGCGUGGGGAGCAAACCAGGAUUAGAUACCCUCGGUAG